UGAACUCCUCUACACUCAUGUGCUCUGACUGCCUCAGUUGCUCAAACUCAAUCAUUUUCAGUUCUCUAGAACUGUCUGGAAAAGCCCAUCCAGCGAACUCAUUCGCAAAUUCUUCCCAUGUCAUACCGUCUAGUCUCGGGUCCACAUAACACUUGAACCAUUCCCGUGCCUUCUUGCACUUUAGAGUAAACCCUGCCAUCUGAAUGGCCCUGCUGUCACUUGCCCCUAGC
Molecule: long non-coding RNA, 230 nt
Filed under: Manihot esculenta (cassava)
Lineage: Eukaryota; Viridiplantae; Streptophyta; Magnoliopsida; Malpighiales; Euphorbiaceae
Description: long non-coding RNA (MESC_LNC008712)
Source: RNAcentral